AGUGAACGCUGGCGGUAUGCCUAACACAUGCAAGUCGAACGGCCGCACAGUAAGCUCUUGCUCUUACGGUUGGCGAGUGGCGGACGGGUGAGGAAUACAUCGGCAUCUUCUUUUUCUUGGGUAACAUCGUGGGAAAACUUCUGCUACUACCUCAUAUAUUCAACCGCUUAAUUCAGUAGUUCUUGGCACUUUUCCUGUCACUUAUAGCUGAUUCCGCAUUAGCGAGUUGGGUGGGUAAGGGCCUACCAAGGCGACGAUCCGUAGCUGGUCUGAGAGGAUGAUCGGCCACACUGGAACUGAGACACGGUCCAGACUCCUACGGGAGGCAGCAGUGGGGAAUAUUGGACAAUGGGCGCAAGCCUGACCCAGCAAUACCGCGUGAGUGAAGAAGGCCUUCGGGUUGUAAAGCCCUGUUAUUAGGAAAGAAAAAAAGUGGAAUAAAACCUGGCUGUUCUGACGGUACCCAAAGAGUAAGCACCGGCUAACUACGCG
This 492-nucleotide ribosomal RNA is filed under the name uncultured bacterium. RNAcentral's name for it is "partial 16S ribosomal RNA". It matches the Rfam family "Bacterial small subunit ribosomal RNA", at positions 29 to 507 of the family's 1533-position model. The record is from RNAcentral.